CCUACGGGAGGCAGCAGUGGGGAAUAUUGCACAAUGGGGGAAACCCUGAUGCAGCAACGCCGCGUGAGUGAAGAAGUAUUUCGGUAUGUAAAGCUCUAUCAGCAGGGAAGAAGAAAGACGGUACCUGACUAAGAAGCCCCGGCUAACUACGUGCCAGCAGCCGCGGUAAUACGUAGGGGGCAAGCGUUAUCCGGAUUUACUGGGUGUAAAGGGAGCGUAGACGGCUGUGCAAGUCUGAAGUGAAAGCCCGGGGCUCAACCGCUGAACUGCUUUGGAAACUGGAUAGCUUGAGUACUGGAGAGGCAGGCGGAAUUCCUGGUGUAGCGGUGAAAUGCGUAGAUAUUGGGAGGAACACCAGUGGCGAAGGCGGCAUGCUGGACAGAAACUGACGUUGAGGCUCGAAAGCGUGGGGAGCAAACAGGAUUAGAUACCCUUGUAGUC
This 441-nucleotide ribosomal RNA is filed under the name uncultured bacterium. RNAcentral's name for it is "partial 16S ribosomal RNA". It matches the Rfam family "Bacterial small subunit ribosomal RNA", at positions 338 to 795 of the family's 1533-position model. The record is from RNAcentral.